GUGGGGAAUAUUGCACAAUGGGCGCAAGCCUGAUGCAGCAACGCCGCGUGAGGGACGACGGCCUUCGGGUUGUAAACCUCUUUUAGCAGGGAAGAAGCGAAAGUGACGGUACCUGCAGAAAAAGCACCGGCUAACUACGUGCCAGCAGCCGCGGUAAUACGUAGGGUGCAAGCGUUGUCCGGAAUUAUUGGGCGUAAAGAGCUCGUAGGCGGUCCGUCGCGUCUGCUGUGAAAACCCGAGGCUCAACCUCGGGCCUGCAGUGGGUACGGGCGGACUAGAGUGCGGUAGGGGAGAUUGGAACUCCUGGUGUAGCGGUGGAAUGCGCAGAUAUCAGGAAGAACACCGAUGGCGAAGGCAGAUCUCUGGGCCGUAACUGACGCUGAGGAGCGAAAGCAUGGGGAGCGAACAGGAUUAGAAACCCGAGUAGUCC
This 430-nucleotide ribosomal RNA is filed under the name uncultured bacterium. RNAcentral describes it as "partial 16S ribosomal RNA". It matches the Rfam family "Bacterial small subunit ribosomal RNA", at positions 354 to 796 of the family's 1533-position model. The record is from RNAcentral.